RNAcentral lists this ribosomal RNA (429 nucleotides) under Verrucomicrobiota bacterium. RNAcentral's name for it is "Verrucomicrobia bacterium partial 16S ribosomal RNA". It matches the Rfam family "Bacterial small subunit ribosomal RNA", at positions 355 to 776 of the family's 1533-position model. Lineage: Bacteria; Pseudomonadati; Verrucomicrobiota. The record is from RNAcentral.
UAGGGAAUCUUCCGCAAUGGACGAAAGUCUGACGGAGCAACGCCGCGUGAGUGAAGAAGGAUUUCGGUUCGUAAAACUCUGUUGUUAGGGAAGAAAAAAUGUAUAGUAACUAUAUACAAAAGAGACGGUACCUAACCAGAAAGCCACGGCUAACUACGUGCCAGCAGCCGCGGUAAUACGUAGGUGGCAAGCGUUGUCCGGAAUUAUUGGGCGUAAAGCGCGCGCAGGUGGUUUAGAAAGUCUGAUGUGAAAGCCCACGGCUCAACCGUGGAGGGUCAUUGGAAACUAAUAAACUGGAGUGCAGUAGAGAAAAGUGGAAUUCCUAGUGUAGCGGUGAAAUGCGUAGAGAUUAGGAGGAACACCGGUGGCGAAAGCGGCUUUUUGGCCUGCAACUGACACUGAGGCGCGAAAGCGUGGGGAGCAAACAGG